This 99-nucleotide transfer RNA is filed under the name SAR324 cluster bacterium. RNAcentral's name for it is "tRNA-Sec". It matches the Rfam family "Selenocysteine transfer RNA". The record is from RNAcentral. RNAcentral also lists the same sequence under 1 other name. Lineage: Bacteria; Deltaproteobacteria.
GGAGAUGGAUGCGUCACUGGUGGGCGCCCCGGACUUCAAACCCGCGCGUGGGGCACUAACACUGUCCUAGAUAGGUUCGAUUCCUAUACAUCUCCGCCA